UACGGAGGAUGCAAGCGUUAUCCGGAUUUAUUGGGUUUAAAGGGUGCGCAGGUUGUUUGAUAAGUCAGUGGUGAAAGUCUGUCGCUUAACGGUAGGAUUGCCAUUGAUACUGUUGGACUUGAAUAUGGAUGAGGUAGGCGGAAUGUGUAGUGUAGCGGUGAAAUGCAUAGAUAUUACACAGAACACCGAUUGUGAAGGCAGCUUACUAAUCCAUCAUUGACGCUGAGGCACGAAAGCGUGGGGAGCAAACA
RNAcentral lists this ribosomal RNA (251 nucleotides) under uncultured prokaryote. Its description in RNAcentral is "partial 16S ribosomal RNA". It matches the Rfam family "Bacterial small subunit ribosomal RNA", at positions 524 to 774 of the family's 1533-position model. The record is from RNAcentral.